UUGCAGUCACAUCAUAUUUAAACACUGGUUCCUGUGCGAUCACCGAAGUUAAGCAACGUCGAGCCUGAUCAGUACUUAAAUGGGUGACCGCUUACGAAUGUCAGGUGGUGUAAG
This is a non-coding RNA of Acanthosepion pharaonis, 114 nucleotides long. The record is from the annotation of a GenBank genome assembly. Lineage: Eukaryota; Metazoa; Mollusca; Cephalopoda; Sepiida; Sepiidae.